GCUCUUUUCAACAGCGCACAUACUAAAAUUGGAAAGAAACAGAGAUCAGCAUGGCCCCUGCACAAGAGUAACACACAAACUCAGGACACAGUGCAUAUUUUU
This 102-nucleotide small nuclear RNA is filed under the name Catagonus wagneri (Chacoan peccary). Lineage: Eukaryota; Metazoa; Chordata; Mammalia; Artiodactyla; Tayassuidae. The record is from RNAcentral.